RNAcentral lists this ribosomal RNA (1790 nucleotides) under Hippichthys heptagonus. Its description in RNAcentral is "partial large subunit ribosomal RNA". It matches the Rfam family "Bacterial large subunit ribosomal RNA". The record is from RNAcentral. Lineage: Eukaryota; Metazoa; Chordata; Actinopteri; Syngnathiformes; Syngnathidae.
UACCCAAAAUUUAGCCCGCCCCUCUAAUAACACAACUUAAAUAUUUAUAAACCCUAAAAUACUUAUAAUAAUAAACAAACCAUUCUUCCACCCUAGUAUGGGAGACAAAAAGGGACAAAGGAGCUUUAGAAUUAGUACCGCAAGGGAACUAUGAAAGAGAAGUGAAAAAAAUCAAUAAAAGUAAAUAAAAGAAGAGAUUAUAUCUCGUACCUUUUGCAUCAUGAUUUAGCAAGAAAUAAGUAAGCAAAGAGAACUUUAGUUUAUUUCCCCGAAACUAAGUGAGCUACUCCGAAACAGCUUAUUUAGAGCCAACCCGUAUCUGUGGCAAAAGAUUGGGAAGAUUUCCGAGUAGAAGUGAUAAACUUACCGAACUUAGUUAUAGCUGGUUACCUGAGAAGUAAAUAGAAGUUUAGCCUAAUUAUUUACCGCAUCAAAACUGAAUACUACCCAAAGGGAAAGCGAAAUAAUUAGAGUUAGACAAAAGAGGUACAGCUCUUUUGUUAAAAGAUACAACUUUAUAAGGAGGUAAAAGAUCAUAAACAAUUAAAUAUCUAACUUUUGUGGGCCUAAAAGCAGCCAUCAGUAAAAGAAAGCGUUAAAGCUCAAGUUACACCAUUAUAGAAAUAAGGAUAUCUAAAUAUUCUUAACCCCCUAAAAAUAUCAGGUUAUUCUACACUAGUAGAAGAAACAAUGCUAAUAUGAGUAAUAAGAGGCUUAAUCAUCCUCUCUUUGCAUAAGUGUAACUCGAAAUGAACUCGCACCGAAAUUUAAUGACCCCAAGAAAGGAGGGAAGUGUUAACCAAAUUAAAAACAAGAAGAACUAGCACAUAAAUAUCAUUAACCUUACACCAGAAUGCAAUUUAAGAAAGACUAAAAGGGAAAGAAGGAACUCGGCAAACAUUAGCCUCGCCUGUUUACCAAAAACAUCGCCUCUUGAAUACUUAACAUAAGAGGUCCCGCCUGCCCUGUGACUUAAUGUUUAACGGCCGCGGUAUUUUGACCGUGCAAAGGUAGCGCAAUCACUUGUCUUUUAAAUAAAGACCCGUAUGAAUGGCAUAACGAGGGCUUAACUGUCUCCUUACCCUAGUCAAUGAAAUUUAUCUCCCCGUGCAGAAGCGGGGAUAAUAACACAAGACGAGAAGACCCUAUGAAGCUUUAAAUAAAUUAUGGAUAAUACUAAUAAACUCAAUCAAGGGAACAAAUCAAAUUAAGCCCAUAAGACAUUUUUGGUUGGGGCGACCGCGGAGCAAAAAGUAACCUCCGUGAGGAAUGGUUAUUAACCAUAGCCAAGAAUUACAAUUCUAAGCAUCAAAACAUUUGACCACAAGAUCCGGUAAAACCGAUUAACGAAACGAGUUACUCUAGGGAUAACAGCGCAAUCUUCUCCAAGAGUCCUUAUCGACGAGAAGGUUUACGACCUCGAUGUUGGAUCAGGACAUCCUAAUGGUGCAACCGCUAUUAAGGGUUCGUUUGUUCAACGAUUAAAGUCCUACGUGAUCUGAGUUCAGACCGGAGCAAUCCAGGUCAGUUUCUAUCUGUGAAUAUAUUUUUUUCUAGUACGAAAGGACCGAAAAGAAAAGGCCUAUGAUUAAAUCAAGCCUUACUUUAAUUUAUUUGAAUAUAAAUAAAAUAACCAAUAAAGCAUAAAAUUGCAGUGGAAAACCACCACACGUUAAGGCCAAAACUUUGCUUAUUGAGGAUUAAAAGAGCCUCUCUUAACAUACGGGAGUCACCUUUUUAUUAGGCCCCCCCCCCGCAGGCAUAAGUACCUUUAGAAUUACUAUUCUCGU